Molecule: long non-coding RNA, 149 nt
Organism: Sphaeramia orbicularis (orbiculate cardinalfish)
Lineage: Eukaryota; Metazoa; Chordata; Actinopteri; Kurtiformes; Apogonidae
Exons: 3
Source: RefSeq, a predicted model, not a curated record
UGUAAGGAAAUAUUGAUGUUUAUAAACUAUAUGGACAUAAAUAUUGGGACACAUGUCUACAGCUGUAAGAUGUCCUGUUUAUAAUGAUUUGAGAUAACAACAUCUAUAUUUCCUUCAAGUAUUAUUUUUAUUCUGUUUUAUGAACAGAC